Molecule: long non-coding RNA, 1229 nt
Organism: Carassius gibelio (silver crucian carp)
Lineage: Eukaryota; Metazoa; Chordata; Actinopteri; Cypriniformes; Cyprinidae
Exons: 4
Source: RefSeq, a predicted model, not a curated record
UCUCUCUUUUCUGUCCAAGAUUACAUUCCUUCUUAGAGAUAGAAUGGUAUCUGUGAGGAUUUCCAGUCAGGAUUUAGACUGUAUCAUAGUACUGAGAAUGCUCUCCUUAGAGUUAAAAAUGACCUGCUCUUAUCAUCUAAUCGUGGUUGUAUCUCUCUAAUAGUUCUACACUGUAAGCAAUUGCUGUAAAUUUACAGCUGAUUUUCAACACUAAAAUACUGUUUUCAUGUUAAACAGUUUAGUACUGUAGUUCGCAAUGCAUUGUGGGCUCCUUAAACCGGAACAACAAGACAGAGGCCCUAAACAGUAUGCUGAUGUUUUAAAUUACAGUACAAUACAGUAUUUUUUUGAAACUGCGUAUUGACUGGGGAAUUUGGAGCAUGGUCAGAAGCUUGUUACAACGUUAAUAUAUUUAAAUUGAGGCUACUGCUUUUGGUCAACUUUAAGAAAUACAGAAAUAAUUUGCCAUUAACUCCUGGAGGGACUUCGGGAACCAUCAUUUGGAUAGGAGAUUGUCCAGAACAGGAUACACAAUUUAGAUGACGUGCUGCACAUCGUUGAGUGUUCUUCAUCAACAACCAUCUGGUCUUGCAACUACAAAUUAAACGGUGUCUGCCACUGCAGCUGACGUUAAGACAACUCUCAGUCUUCCUGCAAGUCCUCGCCUGAUACUGCCUGGUGCAACAGGGCAAAUCACAAUUAUGGGUUGGGUGAUCACCUUUGAGGGCCUUGUAAUCUCUGAGGGCAUCACACCAACAUUUGCAACAGGACUUGUUGAUAUGUUUGCAAUCUACUACAUUUUCAACCUUCAGUAUCAAUAAGAGGCAGCCUGCAACUCUGGAAUUCAUUCAAAGUGGAAGUACUGGAAUAAUGCUGCACAGAGGAACAGCAACUAUCAAAGUGAUGGUCAUCUCUCCUGGAUCAACAAAUAAGAUGUAAAAACACAAGCCUCAUAGGACAAUUUUAAGAGGUAACCUGCAAGUCUAGCUUGCAGUGGCACAGUUGCCUACCUUACUGUUUCAUUUUUAAAUGUAUUUAUUGAUGCAUAUUUUUGAUUCAUCCUGCUAAAAUGUUCUAGUUUCAAAAUGGCCAUUUUCAAAAUGUUCUUAAGUAUGUUUUCAAAAUGUUGCCAAUUAUGCAUAUGUUCAAAUGUUAUUAUGAAAGUAUAUUUUUACAGACAGCAGAGAAUAUAUUGCAUAUAUGUAUAUAUACAUAUAUACAUAUUUUAA